GAUUUACGGAUUUAAUUGCAUAUAUUUAUAUUUAAUUAUUAAUUAUUUGACUUCCGUAAAACCGUCCACUCGUAACGGUUUAGCGAUUUUUCUUCCCGGAAGUUUCAACAAAACUGACCUUUAGCCUAAUUUGAAUAUUCCGGACAUUUUUCGUGUUUUGACUUUUUCGAUCCGGAGUACGGUUUUUCCCGGAGUCGGUCCGGCGGAGUUUUGCGGGUAUUUGAAUUGUUGAUAAUUAUCCAGUUUGUCUCGAUAAGCGUGAAACUAGAUAUUUUGAUUAUUAUAUUAAUUCUUAUCUUGUAAUAAUUGCAGUGGGACCCGCAUACUAAUGACUGAUUAAAAAGCCCCGUUUUGAUGAUUAUCUUGAAAACCAGUACCGAUUGGACCCCGCUAUAUUAAUAUAAAGCUAUUAAAUACGUAUUUUCAUGUCAUAAACGAUCCAAAGGGGUACCAAUUAUUUGUAAAUAUAAAUAGACUUUUCUAUAGCUGAUUUUCACCCGUAAAAUCAUUUCACCAGUUUCUUUUCACGAAUACCGAGAGAAACCGAGCUGCGUUCUUCGUGUUCUUCGUAAUCAAACGAAGAUUUGAAGGUGUUAUUGG
This 600-nucleotide long non-coding RNA is filed under the name Daucus carota (carrot). Its description in RNAcentral is "long non-coding RNA (DCAR_LNC007629)". Lineage: Eukaryota; Viridiplantae; Streptophyta; Magnoliopsida; Apiales; Apiaceae. The record is from RNAcentral.